UCCCUGGUGGCUCAGAGGUUAAAGCAUCUGCCUGCAAUGCAGGAGACCUAGGUUCGAUCCCAGGGUUGGGAA
Molecule: transfer RNA, 72 nt
Filed under: Bos taurus (domestic cattle)
Lineage: Eukaryota; Metazoa; Chordata; Mammalia; Artiodactyla; Bovidae
Also listed under: 5 other names
Rfam family: tRNA
About the family: Transfer RNA (tRNA) molecules are approximately 80 nucleotides in length. Their secondary structure includes four short double-helical elements and three loops (D, anti-codon, and T loops).
Source: Rfam by way of RNAcentral